Molecule: transfer RNA, 68 nt
Filed under: uncultured Fictibacillus sp.
Lineage: Bacteria; Bacillati; Bacillota; Bacilli; Caryophanales; Fictibacillaceae
Rfam family: tRNA
About the family: Transfer RNA (tRNA) molecules are approximately 80 nucleotides in length. Their secondary structure includes four short double-helical elements and three loops (D, anti-codon, and T loops).
Source: RNAcentral
UCGAUAGCUCAGAUGGUAGAGCAGAGGACUGAAAAUCCUCGUGUCGGCGGUUCGAUUCCGUCUCGAGC